GAUCCUGGCUCAGAUUGAACGCUGGCGGCAGGCCUAACACAUGCAAGUCGAACGGUAACAGGAGGAAGCUUGCUUCUUUGCUGACGAGUGGCGGACGGGUGAGUAAUGUCUGGGAAACUGCCUGAUGGAGGGGGAUAACUACUGGAAACGGUAGCUAAUACCGCAUAACGUCGCAAGACCAAAGAGGGGGGACCUUCGGGCCGUCUUGCCAUCGGAUGUGCCCACGAUGGGAGUUAGCUAGUAGGUGGGGUAACGGG
This 257-nucleotide ribosomal RNA is filed under the name uncultured bacterium. RNAcentral describes it as "partial 16S ribosomal RNA". It matches the Rfam family "Bacterial small subunit ribosomal RNA", at positions 15 to 264 of the family's 1533-position model. The record is from RNAcentral.